RNAcentral lists this ribosomal RNA (500 nucleotides) under uncultured bacterium. Its description in RNAcentral is "partial 16S ribosomal RNA". It matches the Rfam family "Bacterial small subunit ribosomal RNA", at positions 29 to 523 of the family's 1533-position model. The record is from RNAcentral.
AUUGAACGCUGGCGGCAUGCCUUACACAUGCAAGUCGAACGGCAGCACGGGAGCAAUCCUGGUGGCGAGUGGCGAACGGGUGAGUAAAGUAUCGGAACGUGCCCAGUCGUGGGGGAUAACGUAGCGAAAGUUACGCUAAUACCGCAUACGAUCUAUGGAUGAAAGCGGGGGAUCGCAAGACCUCGCGCGAUUGGAGCGGCCGAUAUCAGAUUAGGUAGUUGGUGGGGUAAAGGCCCACCAAGCCGACGAUCUGUAGCUGGUCUGAGAGGACGGCAGAGCUGACUGGGACUGAGACACGGCCCAGACUCCGACGGGAGGCAGCAGUGGGGAAUUUUGGAUAAGGGGCGAAAGCCUGAUCCAGCCAUGCCGCGUGCAGGAUGAAGGCCUUCGGGUUGUAAACUGCUUUUGUACGGAACGAAAAGGUUUGGCCUAAUAAGCUGAGCUCAUGACGGUACCGUAAGAAUAAGCACCGGCUAACUACGUGCCAGCCGCCGCCGUAA